AAUCACGCGUGCUUUCACGUCGACGUGCCUAUGUGGAGGUGAUAUUAUCCUCAUCAUCAUCAUGAGGACUCCCUAUCGUGACGUUACUCACUGUGUCUGUAUGCAGUGCUCCAUGGAGGGCAUGCUGCGAGCACAUGGAAAGGAGGUCGAGAUUUGUGUUUGAAAGGCACGCACCUAUCCGAAAUGGAAUAUAACUAAUAAUGCACAAAACGGAGUCAGGGAACGGGAUGGCUGUUUGACGACCCUGCCCUUUCUGCUAUACUCAGCUGUCAAUCAACCAGGAUCAGCAGAUCUCUAAUCAAGACAUGGACCUGGAUGCAAAGACUGAACAGGUGGAAACAGCACAAGGAGUUUGAUCAUGCUCAAUAAGUGAUUUUAUGUUGUAAUGUCUGUUCCUUAUAUUUUAUCAAUAGAGUCUGCUGUAUGAUAGGAAGCAAGCCAUAGAACAUGGUUUUAGAAUGACCACUUCUUCCCUUUUUAAGUGUAUCUAUGAAUAAAGACAAGUGAAAUAA
This is a non-coding RNA of Oncorhynchus mykiss (rainbow trout), 512 nucleotides long. The record is from RefSeq and is a predicted model, not a curated record. NCBI's taxonomy places the organism in Eukaryota, Metazoa, Chordata, Actinopteri, Salmoniformes, Salmonidae.